UACGUAGGGUGCGAGCGUUGUCCGGAAUUAUUGGGCGUAAAGGGCUCGUAGGCGGUUUGUCGCGUCGGGAGUGAAAUCCACUGGCUUAACUGGUGGCUUGCUUUCGAUACGGGCAGACUGGAGGUAUGCAGGGGAGAACGGAAUUCCUGGUGUAGCGGUGAAAUGCGCAGAUACCAGGAGGAACACCGGUGGCGAAGGCGGUUCUCUGGGCAUGUCCUGACGCUGAGGAGCGAAAGUGUGGGGAGCGAACAGG
This 253-nucleotide ribosomal RNA is filed under the name uncultured bacterium. RNAcentral's name for it is "partial 16S ribosomal RNA". It matches the Rfam family "Bacterial small subunit ribosomal RNA", at positions 524 to 776 of the family's 1533-position model. The record is from RNAcentral.